This 459-nucleotide long non-coding RNA is filed under the name Heterocephalus glaber (naked mole-rat). RNAcentral's name for it is "lncRNA (ENSHGLG00100042566.1)". Lineage: Eukaryota; Metazoa; Chordata; Mammalia; Rodentia; Bathyergidae. The record is from RNAcentral.
CUCCUGCCCUAUCAUGUCAGCUGGGCCAGUUGGCCUUUUCUUUCCUUUGCAGUUGAAUGGAAACUUUUGAUUCUUCAUAGGUCCUGGCCCUUUGGACUUAGACUGGAACUGAAUCACCAGCUCUCCUAGGUAUCCAGCUUGCUGACUACAAAUGUUGGGACAUCUUUGCCUCCAUAAUUGUGAAUUGAACUCAGGACCUUGUGCUUGCCAGGCAGGUGUGGUGCCACUGAACUAAAUCCUGGCCCCAGCUUUUCUCAUUUAGCUGGCAUAUUUUGGAGGUUUGUUGAUGUUGUGGCAUUUAUCAGUGCUUAAUUCCUUUGCAUGGCUGAAUGAUAUUUAAUUGUAUGGGUAUACCACAUUUGUUCAUCCAUUUCUUAGUUGAUGGAAUUUGGAUUAUUCUACCUUUUGAUUGCUAUGAAUAAUCCUGCUGUGAACAUUUUGCUGUAACUUUUUGUAGGG